Long non-coding RNA from Octopus sinensis (East Asian common octopus), 1294 nucleotides. RefSeq lists it as uncharacterized. The transcript is spliced from 3 exons. Lineage: Eukaryota; Metazoa; Mollusca; Cephalopoda; Octopoda; Octopodidae. The record is from RefSeq and is a predicted model, not a curated record.
GAGCCGUUCGUUAAUAUCUUCCUAGUUGCUCUUUCUUUUUAACAAAACACUCCUUACAAAAUUCUCUGACUAUUAUAUCAUGUCUUACAAAACCCACGUAUUCCCAUGCUUGAUAGGUAUCUAUAGUAAUUCAUUAGUAUGUAGCUAUUUCAAUGUAAUUUAGAUCUUGAACAAGUGCUGUCGACAGUUGCCUGACAAACGCCAACGAAAAACUCAAACCGCGCAAAAGUUUGAAGGCUGCAAAACCGCAUGACCAAGGCAACAGAAUUAGCUACACAAUCCCAAGAAACAAACAGGGAAUCAACGUGCUACCUCCUACAAGAAGGAUGUCUGAAGAUUAAGAUAUCCCUAACCAUCAAUUAUUUUUUUGGCAUGGACAUAUAAAAAUAUUCUUGUAUAUGUGAAGACUUGCUGGGGGAUGUAUCCUUCGACUGCUAUAAUUUCGGCAAAAGUUUUGUGGUUAUCCUCAGCUGCCUUCACAUCCGCGCUUGCUGCCUCACCAUACCUAACAAUGGAGUGAAUGCCGAUCGUCUUUUUAAAAUUCUCGAAUCAGCCCCGACUGGCUCAUCCAAUGCCGUUCCGUACAAGUGCCUGGGGUCUGCUGCAGCAAAUCAGCGUAAAUAGCUCAUGCCAUCUCGAAGAUUACUGCCUCCGCCACAGUAUCUCCUGCGAGUUGUUUCUUCGUCAACCACACCAUCAGCAACUUCUCCAUAUUUUCAUGAAUAGAUGUCUGCUGUUUAGAUAUUAUUUUAACGCCCUUGGCUGGUGUUAUAGCCUUUAUCGAUUCCUGAUUUAGUAUAGUGCGGAUCGUAGAAUUGCUAAGCCCGUACUGCUUCGUCAAGUCGACUACACGUACACCUUGGUCAUGUUUUUCAAUAAUUUCUUUCUUUAAUUUAAGGCACAUCAUCCGCUUUUCUUCUUAGCACUGUCCUUCACAUUCACUUCUUUUGGAUCCAUAGUAGGAAAAAACGAAGUUUUGCAAAAUAACUGCAAGCACAAUUGCGAGCACAACACUCGUGCAACGACUAUGUAAGUAUUUUACCUACCGUCUAGCUAACGAUCUACUAACGAUCGUCGCACUUGCUAAUGUGCAUGUCUGCCUAGCUAUCGAGUGAGACACCGGAUGCUGAGCGGAUGUUACAACGUUCACUGUGACGUUUGCUACGUCAACUAGCGAUGGGGUAUCUGAAGCUGGUUCGUAACCCGAAUUUUAGCUCGAACUCAAAGCAAAAAAUCUGCCGAGAGACAGCUUGUAUCUCGAAAACUCAUUAGUUGGGACACGUGUAAGUCAAUG